UACGUAGGGGGCAAGCGUUGUCCGGAAUCAUUGGGCGUAAAGCGCGUGUAGGCGGCCCGGUAAGUCCGCUGUAAAAGUCCAGGGCUCAACCCUGGAAAGCCGGUGGAUACUGUCGGGCUCGAGUCCGGAAGAGGCGAGUGGAAUUCCCGGUGUAGCGGUGAAAUGCGCAGAUAUCGGGAGGAACACCAAUUGCGAAGGCAGCUCGCUGGGACGUCGCUGACGCUGAGACGCGAAAGCGUGGGGAGCAAACAGG
This 253-nucleotide ribosomal RNA is filed under the name uncultured bacterium. RNAcentral describes it as "partial 16S ribosomal RNA". It matches the Rfam family "Bacterial small subunit ribosomal RNA", at positions 524 to 776 of the family's 1533-position model. The record is from RNAcentral.